RNAcentral lists this ribosomal RNA (627 nucleotides) under Psilocybe allenii. Its description in RNAcentral is "eukaryotic LSU rRNA". It matches the Rfam family "Eukaryotic large subunit ribosomal RNA", at positions 48 to 657 of the family's 3401-position model. The record is from RNAcentral. Lineage: Eukaryota; Fungi; Basidiomycota; Agaricomycetes; Agaricales; Agrocybaceae.
AAGCGGAGGAAAAGAAACUAACAAGGAUUCCCCUAGUAACUGCGAGUGAAGCGGGAAAAGCUCAAAUUUAAAAUCUGGCGGUCUUUGGCUGUCCGAGUUGUAAUCUAGAGAAGUGUUAUCCGCGCUGGACCGUGUACAAGUCUCCUGGAAUGGAGCGUCAUAGAGGGUGAGAAUCCCGUCUUUGACACGGACUGCCAGGGCUUUGUGAUGCGCUCUCAAAGAGUCGAGUUGUUUGGGAAUGCAGCUCAAAAUGGGUGGUAAAUUCCAUCUAAAGCUAAAUAUUGGCGAGAGACCGAUAGCGAACAAGUACCGUGAGGGAAAGAUGAAAAGAACUUUGGAAAGAGAGUUAAACAGUACGUGAAAUUGCUGAAAGGGAAACGCUUGAAGUCAGUCGCGUUGGCCGGGGAUCAACCUUGCUUUUGCUGGGCGUACUUUCCGGUCGACGGGUCAGCAUCAAUUUUGACCGUUGGAUAAAGGCUGAGGGAAUGUGGCUCCUUCGGGAGUGUUAUAGCCCUUGGUCGCAUACAACGAUUGGGAUUGAGGAACUCAGCACGCCGCAAGGCCGGGUACUUGUACCACGUUCGUGCUUAGGAUGCUGGCAUAAUGGCUUUAAUCGACCCGUCUUGA